GUCGACGGAGAUAAAUUCACUGCAAAUUGAUAAUGUUGUGGAACCAUUUGCAUAUAGAUUUUAAUGAUGUUUUCCUUUUGAUAAUGAAUAACCUAAUUCAUCUUGAAAUAG
Molecule: long non-coding RNA, 111 nt
Organism: Hibiscus syriacus
Lineage: Eukaryota; Viridiplantae; Streptophyta; Magnoliopsida; Malvales; Malvaceae
Exons: 3
Source: RefSeq, a predicted model, not a curated record